RNAcentral lists this non-coding RNA (567 nucleotides) under Pongo abelii (Sumatran orangutan). The record is from RNAcentral. Lineage: Eukaryota; Metazoa; Chordata; Mammalia; Primates; Hominidae.
CAGCUCCUGGGAUGGCCUCACCUGAGGAGACUCUUGGGCCUUGGCAGAACCACUCCCUCAAGUUCUCCAAAUAAGGCUUCUUCCAACAAGAUCCCGCCCUGGGCUGCCUACACAGGGGCAGGCCAAUCAGGCGCUCCUCUAGGGCAGGGUCUUCCCUGGGGUAAAAUGGAGUACACGCCAAGUCAAUUAAGAGCUCAUGGAGUUGCUGAAAUAAAGGUUGCCAAGGCUGGGCGUGGUAGCUCACGCCUGUAAUCCCAGCACUAUGAAAGGCCGAGGCAGGAAUUGAGCUCAGGAGUUUAAGAUCAGCCUGGGCAACAUAGUGCGACUCCAUCUAUACAAAACAACAACAACAACAAAAAAAAAAAAACAAAAAAAACCCUUAAAAAUUAGCUGGCCACGGUGGUGCGUGUCUAUAGUCCCAACGACUUAGGAGGCUGAAAUGGGAGGAUGACUUGAGCCUGGAAGUUUGAGGCUGCACCAAGCCAUGAUCUUGCCACUGUACUCCGUCCUGGUGACAGAGCAAGACCUUGUCUAAAAAAAAUAAUAAUAAAAACAAAGUUUGCCAAA